GCGGUCGUGGCGGAAUGGUAGACGCACUAGCUUGAGGUGCUAGCGGGGGAAACCCUGUGGAAGUUCGACUCUUCUCGACCGCACCA
This 86-nucleotide transfer RNA is filed under the name Alphaproteobacteria bacterium. RNAcentral's name for it is "tRNA-Leu". It matches the Rfam family "tRNA". Rfam says of the family: Transfer RNA (tRNA) molecules are approximately 80 nucleotides in length. Their secondary structure includes four short double-helical elements and three loops (D, anti-codon, and T loops). The record is from RNAcentral. Lineage: Bacteria; Pseudomonadati; Pseudomonadota; Alphaproteobacteria.